UACUUGAAGUUCAUUGGAUUGUAGAAUACGAGUUUUCUGUUUUAUGUAAAACAGAUAGUAUGAUAGUUUUUUAAAAAAAUGUUACAAAGUUUAAAAAACGGAGAUACAUAUAAUAAAAAUGGAGGUACAUAUAAUAACAACGAAAAGUUAAGUAAUUUCAUAAUAAAAUAAAAUAAAAAUGGAUUUAGGCUGAUCUUCAAGGUUGAAACAAAUAAGUGAGGGUGCUCAGUACGAGGAUGUACUUUCACGUCUCGCGGAACAUGCCAACAAAUUUUAUUCUCAUAUAUUCUCUCUCCCCCCUCUUCGCGAUUCUGCAACAAAUUCAAAUCGUCACACCUCUCUCUCUAUAAAUAUAGGCCAUGAACCAGCAAACGUGAAAUCUUCUUCUGGGCUUUACUGCGUUGAAAUGUGAAAGGAAGUAGAAAUAAACACCUCUUCAAAAGCAAAAGAUUCAUGGCGUUACUCUGCUUUUCACUAGUCUUAAUCUCUGUGUUUCCAAGCGCCAUUGCCAAAAUUCCGACGACUCUCGAUGGGCCUUUUGACCCCAUUACGGUCCCUUUUGAUAACUCUCUUCGUGGCCACGCCAUUGAUUUGCCCGAUUCUGAUCCUCGUGCCCGAAAACCUGGCAGAACUUUGGAACCUGAACAGAUUUCUCUCUCUUUGUCCACACCUGAUGCAAUUUGGGUUACCUACAUCACAGGGGAUUUUCACAUUGGUAAUUGCACGAGGCGCUUGGAUCCUUCAAGUGUGAAGAGUUUGGUUCGUUAUGGCCAGCUGAGAUACCCUCUGGCCCAUAAGGCCACUGGUUAUUCUCUGGUUUAUGAGCAGCUCUACCCAUUCCAGGGCAUGCAAAAUUACAGUUCGGGCAUAAUCCACCAUGUUCGUCUCACUGGCCUGAAACCAGGAACAAGGUACUAUUAUCGAUGCGGGGACCCAUCAAAUGGGGGAAUGAGCCCAUUCAAGUCUUUCAGGACAAUGCCAGAAGUUCACCCCAAAAGUUAUCCGGGGAGAAUUGGGGUCGUGGGGGACUUGGGUCUGACAUAUAACACCACCUCUACUGUGGAUCACCUGCGUCGAAACAAUCCAGAUCUCAUUCUUCUUGUUGGGGAUGUUAGUUAUGCGAAUCUCUACCUGACUAAUGGCUCUGGUGCUGAUUCUUAUGACCAUGCCUUCCCUGAUACACCAAUCCAUGAAACCUACCAGCCCCGAUGGGAUUACUGGGGAAGGUUUAUGGAGCCACUGGUGUCAAGAGUUCCAAUGAUGGUGGUUGAAGGGAACCAUGAAAUUGAAGCACAAGCUUUCAACAAAACGUUUGUGGCUUACAGCUCAAGGUUUGCAUUCCCCAGUGAGGAGAGUGGAUCCGAGUCCACAUUUUACUACUCAUUCGAUGCCGGGGGCAUACAUUUCAUCAUGCUUGGUGCCUACACCUCUUACUACAAGUCAGGAGACGAGUACAAAUGGUUGCAGAAGGAUCUUGAGAAGGUGAACAGGGCUGUGACUCCAUGGCUGGUAGUUUCUUUGCACCCACCAUGGUACAACACCUACAAGGCUCAUUACUGAGAAGCUGAAUGCAUGAGGGUGGAGAUGGAGGGACUCCUCUACUCCUAUGGUGUUGACAUCAUCUUCAAUGGACAUGUUCAUGCCUAUGACAGAUCAAACAGGGUAUAUAACUAUAUGUUGGAUCCAUGUGGUCCCGUUUAUAUCACAAUUGGGGAUGGGGGUAACAGAGAGAAGAUGUCUGCUCCUCAUGCUGAUGAUAAGGGUGGAUGCCCUGAGCCGUCAUCCACACCAGACUCUUUCACUGCAGGCCCAGCUGCUGUGCUGCUAAUUUCACUGCAGGCCCAGCUGCUGGCAUGUUUUGCUGGGACCGUCAGCCAGUAUUCGGUGCUUAUCGAGAGAGCAGUUUUGGCCAUGGAAUCCUAGAGGUGAAGAAUGAAACAUAUGCUCUUUGGACAUGGCAUAGGAACCAGGAUAUGUAUAACAGCAUAGGUGACCAGAUUUACAUAGUGAGGCAGCCCAACAAGUGCCCUGCCCACCCUAAUGUGACUAAGCCAUUUAGGGGACCUGGUUCUGUCGCAACAAAACCAAUGGUUGCUGCUCGGCAGGUUCUUUUUUGGGUGGUGGUAGGGCUGACAUUGUUUUGGGGCAGCUCGAUUAACGUGGCAGAAGGCUUGGACUUGGGCUUGGACCCUGCAUCAAUGUCGAAACUUUGGUUUCAAACUUCGUUUAAUUUUCAUGAAAUUUUUUGUCGAAAAUCUAGUAAAAUGUGGGGUGAAAUUUUCGGUUGAUCUUUUGAUUGGUAUUCUUCGGGAAGUUGGUGUUUGCCAAGUAUGCCAAGAUAAAUUUGUCAUUUUUUUUUUUGACAACGAUAAAAUUUUCAUUGACGAUGCAUCUGGUCAGAGUUGCCAAUCCUUGGAUUGUAGUUGUAGUUUGUUGGAUUUUAUUGGGUUUCCAUGCAGAAAUCUAUUAAACUCCAUUGAUUAUUU
RNA transcript from Amborella trichopoda, 2486 nucleotides. It is a transcript of the gene named purple acid phosphatase 15, with no coding region annotated. Lineage: Eukaryota; Viridiplantae; Streptophyta; Magnoliopsida; Amborellales; Amborellaceae. The record is from RefSeq and is a predicted model, not a curated record.